CGUAGGUGCGAGCGUUGUCCGGAUUUAUUGGGCGUAAAGAGCUCGUAGGUGGUUUGUUGCGUCGGAAGUGAAACCCAGGGCUUAACUUUGGGCUUGCUUUCGAUACGGGCAGACUUGAGGAAGGUAGGGGAGAACGGAAUUCCUGGUGGAGCGGUGGAAUGCGCAGAUAUCAGGAGGAACACCAGUGGCGAAGGCGGUUCUCUGGACCUUUCCUGACGCUGAGGAGCGAAAGCGUGGGAGCGAACAGGCUU
RNAcentral lists this ribosomal RNA (251 nucleotides) under uncultured bacterium. RNAcentral's name for it is "partial 16S ribosomal RNA". It matches the Rfam family "Bacterial small subunit ribosomal RNA", at positions 526 to 779 of the family's 1533-position model. The record is from RNAcentral.